CAGUAGCCGCGGUAAUACGUAGGGUGCAAGCGUUAAUCGGAAUUACUGGGCGUAAAGCGUGCGCAGGCGGUUCGCUAAGACAGAUGUGAAAUCCCCGGGCUUAACCUGGGAACUGCAUUUGUGACUGGCGGGCUAGAGUAUGGCAGAGGGGGGUAGAAUUCCACGUGUAGCAGUGAAAUGCGUAGAGAUGUGGAGGAAUACCGAUGGCGAAGGCAGCCCCCUGGGCCAAUACUGACGCUCAUGCACGAAAGCGUGGGGAGCAAACAGGAUUAGAUACCCGCGUAGUCCCUGUCUCUUAUAC
RNAcentral lists this ribosomal RNA (301 nucleotides) under uncultured bacterium. RNAcentral describes it as "partial 16S ribosomal RNA". It matches the Rfam family "Bacterial small subunit ribosomal RNA", at positions 509 to 807 of the family's 1533-position model. The record is from RNAcentral.